GUCGGCGAGAGGAGCACGGAGUGUGACGCUGGUAUCAACCCGCGCCACUCGACCCUUGUUUGGAUAAGAAGGAAGGUUCCUUAGGUGCAGGACUCUCUUCUUUUUAAAGCUGAUGGUCCUUUCCAUCAAGGACCCACCAAGGAUGGAGAAGGACAGAAACCUCAUGGCUGCAAGGAUAUUAGACCUCACCCUAGAGAUCAUCUCCUUGAUAACUGGAGAGGAUUACACAGUAGUGAAGAAGUCAUCUGGUGAGUGUGUGACACCCCGUGUCAGGACCCA
Molecule: long non-coding RNA, 279 nt
Organism: Bufo gargarizans (Asiatic toad)
Lineage: Eukaryota; Metazoa; Chordata; Amphibia; Anura; Bufonidae
Exons: 3
Source: RefSeq, a predicted model, not a curated record